UCAUAAGGUGGGACAAUCUUUUCCUCUUCUCCCUUUUGGAGGAUAGAUUAUAACACGAUUAUUGGAGAUCCAUGAAACAUUAUCAACAUCGAUGCAAAAUCAGGACUUAAAACAUCCUGAUUACUCCUAUCUAAU
Aotus nancymaae (Ma's night monkey) is the source of this 135-nucleotide small nucleolar RNA. Its record names the gene U8. It matches the Rfam family "U8 small nucleolar RNA". From Rfam's summary of the family: U8 is a member of the C/D class of snoRNA which contain the C (UGAUGA) and D (CUGA) box motifs. NCBI's taxonomy places the organism in Eukaryota, Metazoa, Chordata, Mammalia, Primates, Aotidae. The record is from Ensembl.